UCCCUCCUGGCUCACAGGGUAAAGAAUCUGCCUGCAAUGCAGGAGACCUGGGUUCAAUCCCUGGGUUGGGAA
This 72-nucleotide transfer RNA is filed under the name Odocoileus virginianus texanus. It matches the Rfam family "tRNA". Rfam says of the family: Transfer RNA (tRNA) molecules are approximately 80 nucleotides in length. The record is from Rfam by way of RNAcentral. Lineage: Eukaryota; Metazoa; Chordata; Mammalia; Artiodactyla; Cervidae. RNAcentral also lists the same sequence under 2 other names.